UUUGUCAAGAGUUUUUAAUUCUUUUGUAAGCAAUUUGGUACAAACAAACUUGGGAAAUGAUUUUAUAAUCAUAAAGGCACAUAACUUAAACUAGAACACAAGAUUCAAACUCAAACAACAUAUUUUAGACUAAGAAAAUCUUUAUAUUAUUGUACAGGGUGUAUCAAUAAAAACGCAACCUCGGAAUUUCCUAAGAAAUCACGUUGCAAUUCUUAAGCAUAAAAGAUUUUAGGCCCCUGGGAAUUGAAAUCGAAUUGCUAAUAGAUCAUAUUACUGUUGUUGUGCAUUAAAUA
Non-coding RNA from Paramuricea clavata, 293 nucleotides. The record is from the annotation of a GenBank genome assembly. NCBI's taxonomy places the organism in Eukaryota, Metazoa, Cnidaria, Anthozoa, Malacalcyonacea, Plexauridae.